AGCAAAGAAAACUUAAAUAAGGAUCUCUAAUUCUUUUGGGGUAAUUUUUCUUACAUCUCCCCAUCCCAGAGCUCAGGUAUAGUAUAUGCAUCCAAUAUAAAGAGCCUUAAAUACUAGAAGAGAAGCAUCCAUUCCUACUCAAAAUUAUAGUCAUACUAUUUUU
RNAcentral lists this antisense RNA (163 nucleotides) under Eucalyptus grandis. RNAcentral's name for it is "Antisense RNA which regulates isiA expression". It matches the Rfam family "Antisense RNA which regulates isiA expression". Lineage: Eukaryota; Viridiplantae; Streptophyta; Magnoliopsida; Myrtales; Myrtaceae. The record is from Rfam by way of RNAcentral.